RNAcentral lists this unclassified non-coding RNA (212 nucleotides) under Hevea brasiliensis (rubber tree). The record is from RNAcentral. Lineage: Eukaryota; Viridiplantae; Streptophyta; Magnoliopsida; Malpighiales; Euphorbiaceae.
CACUGGAGGCUUUGGUGGUGUUGGUGGGAAAAUGAUUGGUGGUUUUGGAAAAUGUGGUGGCUUUACAACCGGAGGUUUGGGUACAAAAGGUGGCGGCUUUACUAUAGGAGGUUUUGGUACGUAGGGUGGAUGCACAAUUGGGGGUUUGGGUGUGAUUGGUGGUUUAGGCUCAUGGGGAGGUUUGGGUCUGGUUGGUGGUUUCACAAUGGGUG